AUUGAACGCUGGCGGCAUGCUUUACACAUGCAAGUCGAACGGCAGCGCGGGCUUCGGUCUGGCGGCGAGUGGCGAACGGGUGGGUAAUACAUCGGAACGUGCCCAGUAGUGGGGGAUAGCUCGGCGAAAGCCGGAUUAAUACCGCAUACGACCUGAGGGUGAAAGCGGGGGAUCUUCGGACCUCGCGCUAUUGGAGCGGCCGAUGGCAGAUUAGCUAGUUGGUGGGGUAAAGGCCUACCAAGGCGACGAUCUGUAGCUGGUCUGAGAGGACGACCAGCCACACUGGGACUGAGACACGGCCCAGACUCCUACGGGAGGCAGCAGUGGGGAAUUUUGGACAAUGGGCGAAAGCCUGAUCCAGCAAUGCCGCGUGUGUGAUGAAGGCCUUCGGGUUGUAAAGCACUUUUGGCGGGAACGAAAAGGACUGUGCCAAUACCACGGUUCGAUGACGGUACCCGCAGAAUAAGCACCGGCUAACUACGUG
Molecule: ribosomal RNA, 484 nt
Filed under: uncultured bacterium
Lineage: Bacteria
Description: partial 16S ribosomal RNA
Rfam family: Bacterial small subunit ribosomal RNA
Source: RNAcentral